Molecule: ribosomal RNA, 468 nt
Filed under: uncultured bacterium
Lineage: Bacteria
Description: partial 16S ribosomal RNA
Rfam family: Bacterial small subunit ribosomal RNA
Source: RNAcentral
GACGAACGCUGGCGGCGUGCUUAACACAUGCAAGUCGAACGGAAAGGCCCUGCUUUUGUGGGGUGCUCGAGUGGCGAACGGGUGAGUAACACGUGAGUAACCUGCCCUUUACUUUGGGAUAACUUCAGGAAACUGGGGCUAAUACCGGAUAGGAGCUCCUGCUGCAUGGUGGGGGUUGGUAAGUUUCGGCGGUUGGGGAUGGACUCGCGGCUUAUCAGCUUGUUGGUGGGGUAGUGGCUUACCAAGGCUUUGACGGGUAGCCGGCCUGAGAGGGUGACCGGCCACAUUGGGACUGAGAUACGGCCCAGACUCCUACGGGAGGCAGCAGUGGGGAAUAUUGCACAAUGGGCGGAAGCCUGAUGCAGCAACGCCGCGUGCGGGAUGACGGCCUUCGGGUUGUAAACCGCUUUCGCCUGUGACGAAGCGUGAGUGACGGUAAUGGGUAAAGAAGCACCGGCUAACUACGUG